AACGCGAAGAACCUUACCUGGGCUAGAAUGCAGAUAGACCGCCGGUGAAAGCUGGUUUUGUAGCAAUACACUGUCUGUAAGGUGCUGCAUGGCUGUCGUCAGCUCGUGCCGUGAGGUGUUGGGUUAAGUCCCGCAACGAGCGCAACCCCCAUCACUAGUUGCCAUCAGGUAAAGCUGGGAACUCUAGUGAAACUGCCGUCGUAAGACGCGAGGAAGGAGGGGAUGAUGUCAAGUCAUCAUGGCCUUUAUGCCCAGGGCUACACACGUGCUACAAUGGGGAGGACAAAGGGCAGCGACACAGCGAUGUGAAGCUAAUCCCAAAAACCUCUUCUCAGUUCAGAUUGCAGUCUGCAACUCGACUGCAUGAAGCUGGAAUCGCUAGUAAUCGUAUAUCAGCAAUGAUACGGUGAAUACGUUCCCGGGCCUUGUACACACCGAGACGAC
Molecule: ribosomal RNA, 444 nt
Filed under: uncultured bacterium
Lineage: Bacteria
Description: bacterial SSU rRNA
Rfam family: Bacterial small subunit ribosomal RNA
Source: RNAcentral